Molecule: ribosomal RNA, 505 nt
Filed under: uncultured bacterium
Lineage: Bacteria
Description: partial 16S ribosomal RNA
Rfam family: Bacterial small subunit ribosomal RNA
Source: RNAcentral
GACGAACGCUGGCGGCGUGCCUAAUACAUGCAAGUAGAACGCACAGUUUAUACCGUAGCUUGCUACACCAUAGACUGUGAGUUGCGAACGGGUGAGUAACGCGUAGGUAACCUGCCUGGUAGCGGGGGAUAACUAUUGGAAACGAUAGCUAAUACCGCAUAAUAUUAAUUAUUGCAUGAUAAUUAAUUGAAAGGUGCAAUUGCACCACUACCAGAUGGACCUGCGUUGUAUUAGCUAGUAGGUGAGGUAACGGCUCACCUAGGCGACGAUACAUAGCCGACCUGAGAGGGUGAUCGGCCACACUGGGACUGAGACACGGCCCAGACUACUACGGGAGGCAGCAGUAGGGAAUCUUCGGCAAUGGACGAAAGUCUGACCGAGCAACGCCGCGUGAGUGAAGAAGGUUUUCGGAUCGUAAAGCUCUGUUGUAAGAGAAGAACGGGUGUGAGAGUGGAAAGUUCACACUGUGACGGUAUCUUACCAGAAAGGGGCGGCUAACUACGUG